Molecule: ribosomal RNA, 537 nt
Filed under: uncultured marine eukaryote
Lineage: Eukaryota
Description: SSU rRNA
Rfam family: Eukaryotic small subunit ribosomal RNA
Source: RNAcentral
UUAAAAAGCUCGUAGUUGGAUUUCUGGGAGAGUGGCGAUGUCCGCUUAACGUGUGUGCAGCGACGCUCUUCCAUCCUUCUGUUAGCGUCUCUUGGCAUUCAUUUGCUGGUGGCGGGCUCAGAUAUUUUACCUUGAGAAAAUUAGAGUGCUUCAGGCAGGCUAGGCCGGAAUACAUUAGCAUGGAAUAAUGGAAUAGGACUACGGUCUCUUUGUUGGUUUGAGGGACUGCAGUAAUGAUUAAUAGGGAUAGUUGGGGGCAUUAGUAUUUAAUUGUCAGAGGUGGAAUUCUCAGAUUUGUUAAAGACUAGCUUAUGCGAAAGCAUUUGCCAAGGAUGUUUUCAUUAAUCAAGAACGAAAGUUAGGGGAUCAAAGACGAUCAGAUACCGUCCUAGUCUUAACCAUAAACUAUGCCGACUCGGGAUCGGGGGCGUGUUCUAUCCGCCUUCGGCACCGUAUGAGAAAUCAAAGUCUUUGGGUUCUGGGGGGAAUAUGGUCGCAAGGCUGAAACUUAAAGGAAUUGACGGAAGGGCACCACCA